Molecule: ribosomal RNA, 301 nt
Filed under: uncultured bacterium
Lineage: Bacteria
Description: bacterial SSU rRNA
Rfam family: Bacterial small subunit ribosomal RNA
Source: RNAcentral
GAUGAACGCUGGCGGCGUGCUUUACACAUGCAAGUCGAACGCUGAAGCCCCUUCGGGGGCCGAUGAGUGGCGAACGGGUGAGGAAUACAUGGGUAACCUACCCUCGAGUGGGGAAUAACUAGCCGAAAGGUUAGCUAAUACCGCGUACGCUUCUUGGACUUCGGUUCAGGGAGGAAAGCGAUGCCGAGGGUAUCGCGCUCUUGGAUGGGCUCAUGUCCUAUCAGCUUGUUGGUGAGGUAACGGCUCACCAAGGCUUCGACGGGUAGCUGGUCUGAGAGGACGAUCAGCCACACUGGCACUG